This 128-nucleotide ribosomal RNA is filed under the name Neogale vison (American mink). The record is from RNAcentral. Lineage: Eukaryota; Metazoa; Chordata; Mammalia; Carnivora; Mustelidae.
GUCUACAGCCAUACCACCUGAAUGUGCCCGAUCUCUAGUCUGAUCUUGGAAGCUAAGCAGGGUCGGGCCUGGUUAGUACUUGGAUGGGAGACAGUGACUAUGCACUCAAUUCCAGGCUAUUGCCUAUA